GUAGGGAAUUUUCGGCAAUGGGGGGAACCCUGACCGAGCAACGCCGCGUGAGUGAAGAAGGAUUUCGGUCUGUAAAGCUCUGUUGUAAGGGAAGAACGACUAAGGAGAACCUUAGAGUGACGAUACCUUACGAGGAAGCCACGGCUAACUACGUGCCAGCAGCCGCGGUAAUACGUAGGUGGCGAGCGUUAUCCGGAAUUAUUGGGCGUAAAGGGUGCGCAGGCAGUCUGUUAAGUUCAUGGUGAAAGCGUGGGGCUCAACCCCAUAUAGCCAUGGAUACUGGCAGGCUAGAGUACUGGAGAGGGAAGCGGAAUUCCAUGUGUAGCGGUAAAAUGCGUAGAUAUAUGGAGGAACACCGGAGGCGAAGGCGGCUUCCUGGACAGUAACUGACGCUGAGGCACGAAAGCGUGGGGAGCAAAUAGGA
Molecule: ribosomal RNA, 424 nt
Filed under: uncultured bacterium
Lineage: Bacteria
Description: bacterial SSU rRNA
Rfam family: Bacterial small subunit ribosomal RNA
Source: RNAcentral